This 374-nucleotide ribosomal RNA is filed under the name uncultured prokaryote. RNAcentral's name for it is "bacterial SSU rRNA". It matches the Rfam family "Bacterial small subunit ribosomal RNA", at positions 524 to 896 of the family's 1533-position model. The record is from RNAcentral.
UACGUAGGGGGCGAGCGUUGUCCGGAUUUAUUGGGCGUAAAGGGCGUGUAGGCGGUUCGGUAAGUCGGGGGUGAAAACCCGGGGCUCAACCCCGGGUCUGCCUCCGAAACUGCGGGACUUGAGUGCUCUAGAGGGUAGUGGAAUUGCCGGUGUAGCAGUGAAAUGCGUAGAGAUCGGCAGGAACACCAGUGGCGAAGGCGACUGCCUGGGGAGUAACUGACGCUGAGGCGCGAAAGCUGGGGGAGCAAACGGGAUUAGAUACCCCGGUAGUCCCAGCCGUAAACGAUGAGUGCUAGGUGUGAGGGGUAUCGACCCCCCUCGUGCCGCCGUUAACGCAAUAAGCACUCCGCCUGGGGAGUACGGCCGCAAGGUUG